This 281-nucleotide ribosomal RNA is filed under the name Bacillus subtilis. RNAcentral's name for it is "partial 16S ribosomal RNA". It matches the Rfam family "Bacterial small subunit ribosomal RNA", at positions 68 to 340 of the family's 1533-position model. Lineage: Bacteria; Bacillati; Bacillota; Bacilli; Caryophanales; Bacillaceae. The record is from RNAcentral.
GACAGAUGGGAGCUUGCUCCCUGAUGUUAGCGGCGGACGGGUGAGUAACACGUGGGUAACCUGCCUGUAAGACUGGGAUAACUCCGGGAAACCGGGGCUAAUACCGGAUGGUUGUUUGAACCGCAUGGUUCAAACAUAAAAGGUGGCUUCGGCUACCACUUACAGAUGGACCCGCGGCGCAUUAGCUAGUUGGUGAGGUAACGGCUCACCAAGGCAACGAUGCGUAGCCGACCUGAGAGGGUGAUCGGCCACACUGGGACUGAGACACGGCCCAGACUCCU